Molecule: ribosomal RNA, 1232 nt
Filed under: Lynceus susanneae
Lineage: Eukaryota; Metazoa; Arthropoda; Branchiopoda; Diplostraca; Lynceidae
Description: SSU rRNA
Source: RNAcentral
AUUGGAGGGCAAGUCUGGUGCCAGCAGCCGCGGUAAYUCCAGCUCCAAUAGCGUAUAUUAAAGUUGUUGCGGUUAAAAAGCUCGUAGUUGGAUUCCUGUUGCGAGCAGGCGGUGCCGUCUAUGGCGUGCACUGCCUGGCUCGGACAAUUCAUCGGACUGUUCGGGGUGCUCUUAACCGGGUGUCCCGAGUGGCCGAUACGUUUACUUUGAACAAAUUAGAGUGCUUAAAGCAGGUGCACUGCGCCUGAAUAUCACAGCAUGGAAUGAUGGAAUAGGACCUCGGUCUUAUUUUGUUGGUUUUCUGGACCCGAGGUAAUGGUUAAUAGAGACAGACGGGGGCAUUCAUACUGCGACGCUAGAGGUGAAAUUCUUGGACCGUCGCAAGAUGAACAACUGCGAAAGCAUUUGCCAAGAAUGUUUUCAUUAAUCAAGAACGAAAGUUAGAGGUUCGAAGGCGAUCAGAUACCGCCCUAGUUCUAACCAUAAACGAUGCCAACCAGCGAUGCGCCAAAGUUACUCCAAUGACUUGGCGUGCAGCUUCCGGGAAACCAAAGUCUUUGGGUUCCGGGGGAAGUAUGGUUGCAAAGCUGAAACUUAAAGGAAUUGACGGAAGGGCACACCAGGAGUGGAGCCUGCGGCUUAAUUUGACUCAACACGGGAAACCUCACCAGGCCCGGACACUGGAAGGAUUGACAGAUUGAGAGCUCUUUCUUGAUUCGGUGGGUGGUGGUGCAUGGCCGUUCUUAGUUGGUGGAACGAUUUGUCUGGUUAAUUCCGAUAACGAACGAGACUCUAGCCUACUAAAUAGGUGGCGGGUUCUUCCCGUCCGCUACUCUUCUUAGAGGGACAGGCGGCGUCUAGCCGCAUGAUAAUGAGCAAUAACAGGUCUGUGAUGCCCUUAGAUGUCCUGGGCUGCACGCGCGCUACACUGAAGGAACCAGCGUGUCUUCCCUGCCCGAAAGGGCCGGGUAACCGCUGAAUCUCCUUCGUGGUUGGGAUUGGGGACUGCAAUGAUCCCCAUGAACCAGGAAUCCCUAGUAGGCGCAAGUCACUAGCUUGCGUCGACUACGUCCCUGCCCUUUGUACACACCGCCCGUCGCUACUACCGAUUGAAUGAUUUAGUGAGGCCUUCGGACGGACCGAUCGGGCAGAGUUUCGGCUUUGCCUCGGCCGGACUGGAAGAUGGUCGAACUUGAUCCUUUAGAGGAAGUAAAAGUCGUAACAAGGUUUCC